CAGUCGCCGCGGGAAUACGUAGGUGGCAAGCGUUGUCCGGAAUUAUUGGGCGUAAAGGGCUCGCAGGCGGUUUCUUAAGUCUGAUGUGAAAGCCCCCGGCUCAACCGGGGAGGGUCAUUGGAAACUGGGAAACUUGAGUGCAGAAGAGGAGAGUGGAAUUCCACGUGUAGCGGUGAAAUGCGUAGAGAUGUGGAGGAACACCAGUGGUGAAGGCGACUCUCUGGUCUGUAACUGACGCUGAGGAGCAAAAGCGUGGGGAGCGAACAGGAUUAGAUACCCGUGUAGUCCCUGUCUCUUAUAC
Molecule: ribosomal RNA, 301 nt
Filed under: uncultured bacterium
Lineage: Bacteria
Description: partial 16S ribosomal RNA
Rfam family: Bacterial small subunit ribosomal RNA
Source: RNAcentral